RNAcentral lists this ribosomal RNA (466 nucleotides) under uncultured bacterium. RNAcentral's name for it is "bacterial SSU rRNA". It matches the Rfam family "Bacterial small subunit ribosomal RNA", at positions 917 to 1382 of the family's 1533-position model. The record is from RNAcentral.
GGGCCCGCACAAGCGGUGGAUUAUGUGGAUUAAUUCGAUGCAACGCGAAAAACCUUACCUGGCCUUGACAUGUACGGAACAUUCCAGAGAUGGAUUGGUGCCCGUAAGGGAGCCGUAACACAGGUGCUGCAUGGCUGUCGUCAGCUCGUGUCGUGAGAUGUUGGGUUAAGUCCCGCAACGAGCGCAACCCUUGCCAUUAAUUGCCAUCAUUAAGUUGGGCACUUUAAUGGGACUGCCGGUGACAAACCGGAGGAAGGUGGGGAUGACGUCAAGUCCUCAUGGCCCUUAUGGCCAGGGCUUCACACGUAAUACAAUGGUCGGUACAGAGGGUAGCCAACCCGCGAGGGGGAGCCAAUCCCAGAAAGCCGAUCGUAGUCCGGAUUGCAGUCUGCAACUCGACUGCAUGAAGUCGGAAUCGCUAGUAAUCGCGGAUCAGCAUGUCGCGGUGAAUACGUUCCCGGGCCUU